This 553-nucleotide long non-coding RNA is filed under the name Equus caballus (horse). RNAcentral describes it as "lncRNA (ENSECAG00000060019.1)". Lineage: Eukaryota; Metazoa; Chordata; Mammalia; Perissodactyla; Equidae. The record is from RNAcentral.
GAGCUAUCUGCAGCAGGGUCAAGAAGACUGGAGUUUAUACCGCAUCAGUCAGUCGUUGGAUCUUCUGGCCCCACGGUCGCUAAUGACUUCCAUGUUCCUUAAGCUAAAGGAAAUUUUUCUUUGUUUUGCUUAAGUAGCUUUUUGUAGAUGUGUCCUCAUACAACACCAGUAGCAGUAGAGGAAAAAUACAGGCUUCUUAAACAGUCUUGCAUUUGAAUGAGAUUGAAGAACUAUGGAGGUCCUUAUUUUGUAAAAGUCAUCACCAUUCAUCAGAUAUGAUAGAAUUACCAACAAGUAUCAUAAAACUCUGCUUUACCCUCCUUGUCUUAACCAAAAGAUUGUGUAUUCUUUCUCACAAUGGAAAAAAAAAGAAGAAGUAAGGUAUCCACUAAGAUAUGAUGAGUUUAUUGAUUUCAUCAAAAAUUCAGGUUACUUCCACUAAGUCUCCACGCCACUGUCCCCACUUUUGGCUUCAUCCUAUAGUUGGUUUACUCUUGUGAUUGCAGAUGGCUAUAACACAUACCAUCUGGAGACAAUAGUGAGUAGUAGCAGA